Long non-coding RNA from Lycium barbarum (goji berry), 491 nucleotides. RefSeq lists it as uncharacterized. The record is from RefSeq and is a predicted model, not a curated record. The transcript is spliced from 3 exons. NCBI's taxonomy places the organism in Eukaryota, Viridiplantae, Streptophyta, Magnoliopsida, Solanales, Solanaceae.
CCCAAGCCCAUGGGAAUUCUUCCAUGUGGCAUUUUAAAUAAAAAGGGUCAAAAUUGUAUGGGAUUCACUAGAACAUUUCAAGACAACAAACAAGAGAGAGAGAGAGCCAAAGACUAAGAGGGUUUCGGCUAGAGAGAGGAAGAGAAAGAAAAAAAUUUAGCUCAUCAAUUCUUGGUCCAAAAAUCAUAAUCUUCUAGUUUUCCUAUUAAGUUGGAAACCCUCUUCAAUGUGAUACAAAUUUGGAAGCAAAAGAGUACUUUUUUUACAAAGUGGAAAUUCUUGAAGAAAAAGAUUCUGAGCGAAACGGGAUUUGGAGUUUUGGACGAGCGUAAGACGUAUAUAAGGUACAGAUACCAGUGAUCCACCACUGUAGGCUCCACUUUCUGCUAUUUCGGAGUACUCCCUUUUGAUCCGGAGUCCACUUUUGGUACAUACAUCUUUUGCUAUGUAUAUACUUCUGUAUAUCUGACUAUUUGGGUACGGCGGGGCCC